CACAAGGCCCUCUUCAGGGCCACUAAUCUAUAUACCUCAAGCUGG
Molecule: non-coding RNA, 45 nt
Organism: Operophtera brumata (winter moth)
Lineage: Eukaryota; Metazoa; Arthropoda; Insecta; Lepidoptera; Geometridae
Source: Rfam